Molecule: long non-coding RNA, 4680 nt
Organism: Gallus gallus (chicken)
Lineage: Eukaryota; Metazoa; Chordata; Aves; Galliformes; Phasianidae
Exons: 2
Source: RefSeq, a predicted model, not a curated record
UCCCCCAGGCUCGGCCUCCAGCGACUCGGCAGCUCGCGGCACCGCGCGGAGCAGCUAGGCCCCGCCGCGCCGGGCAGGAUGCGCGGCCGGCAUCGGCAGUUCGUCACGUCCCGCCCGGCCCCGCACGCCCGGCGGCUCCUCGGAAGGCCCAGAGGGGCCGAGCCCGCCCCAGGCCGCGUGUGGAGAGAAGGAAAAGGAGCCGCGGAGCGGGGCGGGCUCCGCCGUUAUGGCCGCCCCAGCAGGAGGUAACCCCGCGCCUGGGAGGCCCAAGCCGGGCGGAGGCAGAAGGCGACGCGGGGUUACGGCCCAGUCCGCGGGGAGGGGGGUGCGGGAGCCCGGCGCAGGGCGAGGACUGCCGGAGAAGGGCAGUAGAGAGGGCGGCCGCACUUACUCUCGUUUAACACCUCCAGCAGCUCGGCGCAGCUCUCACACAUUGUUCAUUAACAGCAGCAGCCGCCGCCGCCGCCUCCUCCCAACCAUUGAUUGAUCCGCGCGGGGCCGCCGAUCGGUAUUCCUGCUAGUGUGGAAUGGAUCGGUAGCUGCACAACCUGAGUGCAUCAGCUGCAUUUGCAAAAAGAUAGUAUUUUUUAACAGAAAAUAUAGUUCCACACUGUGCAUUCAGAGUUGAAUUUGUGUUUGUUUCUCUUUACCCUCUUCUUCACUUAGACCUUGAAGUUCAUUUGAUCAUAGAUCCAAAAUUAACUGCCAGGGCAUCAGUUAAAUUUCUGACAACUCAGCUCUUUGAUCUGAUUGCAAAGCCACAUAAACACCACAGCCAGCACAAGAAAGGGGCCUUUUGGAUCACAGUAUCACAUGCUAAGUUCAGUAUAUAAAACAGAGGAAUAUGAGUGACCUUGUUCCCACUUCUGUGCAGACUAGAAUAUUGUGAAGUAAAUUUUACAGCACACAAUCUCAUUUUUGUUUAAAAAAAAAAAAAAACGAAAUUGUAGUUUUAAAAUUAAAUACAACAUCAGCUACUCUUUCUUCUAUCCAUUGCUUAUUUUCUCUUGGCCUUUAUUCUCUCCUCACGUAGCAUCACUGCAAUGUGGUUUGAUCCCUAGGAGGCCCUCUUUCCUUCCCCUGACUGUGAUGCUGCUCUUAAUCAGGAAAUGCUUCCUUUAGUAAGCUGACAGCACAGUUCUGAAGUAGUAAUUGAAAAGAAAUGCAAUACUUGAGCAAAAGUAAAAUUCUAAAUCCAAAUGUUGUACAAGGUGAAUGUAUGUUUACAGUGUCAGUGUCCCAAGACCAAACUACUAACUCAGUCCAGGCAAUUGUGUUUUGUUUGUUUGUUUAGGUUAAAGUUGAAAUUAACCAUUCAUCAGAAGAAAAAAAUCCUGAUGUGGGUUAGGGGUCCGGUGGUCUUUCUAAACCUGCAUUUAAAUAGCCUGAGGUUUUUACCCAGCCUAAUUCUGGGAUCGUCUCUUACAGUAUGUUUCAAUUUUCAUUUUGAUUAUUUCAGACUGUAAAGAAGUUGUCACAUAACUGAUAUACUUUUGAUUCAAAAGCAAGCAGAACUCUUGGACUCUUCACUGGUAAAGCAUGUAUUUAUGACUAUCUUUGUAGAAGUUUGCUCUAAUGAUUGCACAUUGGGAAACAGUUAAUCUAAGAAGCAAAAUGCUCACAGGUAGAGCUCUGGGGAGAGAAGGCUGAUGCAAAAAAACAUAACAAAACAAACAAAAAAAAACCCCACAAAACUCAAACACCUCACGCUAGAUGUAAUGCUACAGAUUCCAAACAAGAAAAUUGAUCAUUACUGUCGUUAGCAAGUCAUUAAAAUAACAGCUGUGGUAGUAAGCAGGCUGCAGUUUUUUCCAUCACACAAAAUUGUAGUCACACUGAGAUAAAACAAUUCUAACUCCUCUCCUUCAUCUUCAGUUGGUCCAUUUUCCCCAAGUCUUUACAUGAAGGAACCCACAGAUCGCAGAUUUGCCAACUAAGAAAAACUGAGACAGUUCACAAUAGAAAUAUAGGCUCUUCUACAUAUUUUGAUAGGGUAUUCAGAAAAGUGCUUUUUAACCCAAUAGAAGUGUAAAUCUAAGUGGAUCUUUUUAACUUAUGUCAUUCUUACCCAUAUUCUGAUCUGUGAAAACAUCCCUUCUUAACCCCAUCUUUGUUUUUCAGACUGCUUUCUUGUCCCUCUUGAACAGCAUGAAUAAACACAAGUAGACAUACGUAUGAAAAUGAAAAGCAAACACAGGGCAAGUAUUACACACCUGCAGUAGCAUUUGAUUCAUUUCAGAGUUCUAAUUUAGACAAGACAGGUGUCUUGGGGAGACUGCUGGCAGACUGCAUAGCUAUAUUCAGCUUUAAAAAAAACAACACAACCAAACAACAACGAAGAACACCGUAGUUCUGCAAAGCUGCUGUAUUUGAUAAAUGCAGCCAAUCUAUUGCAGCAUGUUAACAUGCUCCAUUGGGUAGUCCAAACAAUCUCACCCAAAUGCAUAAAUAUUCAAAGUAGAGAACACAGAGUCCCAACGCCAAGCUGAAUUCCCAACUGUUCACCUUUGUUCUAACAGGAAUAGUAGUAGAAAAGGUCUUCUUCUAUUCAGCCCUUGGUGUCAAAAGUUUAAGUUGAAGCAGUAUCACUUAUAUUUUCCCUAAGAACAUGUCACGUUUGUUUUUGAAUUUACCUGUGAAUGUGCAAAUUACCACAGAAAAUAUAGCUUAUUUGUAGAGGCUAGAAAUUCCAGAUAACUUUUCAAUUUCCUUACAUAGUAUUCGUACCACUAGAAACACAUGCAUUCACUGUAUUUUCACUUUAAUACUAGCUGGAUCUUUUCUCCCCAUACUCAAGAAAUGAUUCAUGAUUUCGGGUGCAUUUAGUAAUUAAUGUGCAUUGUAUGUAAAAUUUGAAAAAUGAUUGGCUAAGCCUUUUUCCAAGAGAACACUGCUGAUCAGUCAACUUCAGCAAUGAUCUCCUGAAUGUUAAAGUCUAAAUAGAAAUUCAGUUCCAUUAAAUAACGUACAGAGGUGUAUUCAUGAAGGGCAGGAAGGAGAGGUAUAUUCAUAUACUCAAUUUUGUAACCAAAACAGUUUUUAAAAGCAAUCUCUAACAUUUUGGUCUUGCCUUACUACAUUUGGAGUCAUACCUAGUAACACGGGAGAAGGAAGAGAACAAAAAGAACCUAGGCACCCAUACGAGCAAGAAAAUAGUGCCCCAUAAGUUUUGGAUGAGUAAUAAUCUAUCUAAAGGGACAGACAGUCUCAGAAGCACAGUUUAGCCUCUGUACAUUUUAAUGCUGUAAUAUUUGCAGCAUCUUUUCCUAAUACCACUCCCCUUCAUCCAAAGAAAUCCACAGCCAAAUUUCAUUGCUUUCCAGUGCUGAAGUCUAACUGGAAAUAACUUCAAGCUUCCUUGAGAGAUGAACAUUAUUCUAAAGCUUUUUGCAUAAAUAUUAACUUUAUUGGAAAAUAGUUCACUUAACCAAUCAGAUUAACACACAGCAAAUUAUUCAAGUUAGAAAAAGAAAACUAACCUAAAAUGCUUUGGAAAAUAAUCUGCUCCAGUUACAGUAGCAAACACAUGGUAGCCUGAAACAAGCACUUCAGGGUGUCUUCAUCAGCUAACAGGCAAUCAAUUCAUGUAAACACAGAAAACACCCUGUAAUAUUUUUGUUAAUGAAUGUACCUAGAGUACACAGAAUUUUCUUUAAAAUCUUUAUAGAAAUAUGCACAAAGUAAACAUUGGUUUACAUAUAAUUACAAGUUGUAGUUAUUUUUAUGAUGGGUUCAUGCUUUUUAUCCAUUUAUUUUUAUUUCCAGAGUGUGCAUUCAAUGUAAUAUCUACAACCUUCUCAGGUGUACACUGUAAUAAUUUUUUGACAUACAGGAUAACUGCACUAGAAAUAGACACACCCUACCCCCCAAAUUUUGUCAAGAACUCUGCAUAAACUGAAUUUUCAUAGCAUCUGCAGAGAUCAGCAAAAGGCACCAAUUUAGAAGAUAACACAGCUUUUUUCAGAUUUAAAAGGGAAGUGAGAACUAACAUUAACAUUUUGUUACUAGAUAAUCUAAAAGGUAUCAAAAUAAUGAAAAACUCUUAUCUGAAUUGCAUUUUUAAACACUUCAGGUGUUUUUUGAAAGUCAAAUUCUUUAAUAUGAAUCAGACCAUAAGCCUUGCAAAUUUACUUCAACCUUGAAAAUGAAAGGUGCACGUAAAAGCACAGGUACGCUUUUCAUUCAAACUAUUUUCACUGCACACCUGAACUGAUCUAGUUCUGCGACUUGUAGAAGAUGGUCAUUCUGACAUCACACUUUUGGGGGUAUUUCCAUUGUAACAGUUUUCUUCUUGGUCUCCACAGCUUUCGAUAAUCUGCAGCUUUAUAAUGCUGUGACUAAGCCUGGUCACAAGCAAUUUUAGUAUCAUUCAACAGUACUUCAAACACUUCAAACUCCUUCUUAGGGUACGCAUUUUGCCUUACAACAACAAAAAUCUGUAAUUCAACAGGACAGAAAGACAUGAAAAAGCUUAAAGCAUGAGUUUGAGAAACAAAUGAAAUCUUUCAUCUAGCAAACUAACAAUUUUGGUAGGCUACAUUGUAAGUCCCAGUCAUAAAUGGUUUGAGGAACCUCAUCUCCACAGCCUAGCACUUUCAGAUUGCAGUAUUUGUGAUAAUAAAAGAUGUUCCAGCAGUAGUGGCUUUGGUUUUUUUUUUUUUUUUUUAAGGCCAGCUAAGU